GAGGCUGCUUGCAGCCGAAGCGAGUGAUACCCUGCUUCCAGGAAAAGCCACUAAGCUUCAGCUACACACGACCGUACCGCAAACCGACACUGGUGCGCGAGAUGAGUAUUCUAAGGCGCUUGAGAGAACUCAGGAGGAGGAACUCGGCAAAUUGAUACCGUAACUUCGGGAGAAGGUACGCCCUAAGUAAGUGAAGUUGUACAAACGGAGCUGAACAGGGUUGCAAAAAAUCGGUGGCUGCGACUGUUUAAUAAAAACACAGCACUCUGCAAACACGAAAGUGGACGUAUAGGGUGUGACGCCUGCCCGGUGCUGGAAGACUAAAUGAUGGGGUGCAAGCUCUUGACUGAAGUCCCAGUAAACGGCGGCCGUAACUAUAGCGGUCCUAAGGUAGCGAAAUUCCUUGUCGGGUAAGUUCCGACCUGCACGAAUGGCGUAACGAUGGCCACACUGUCUCCUCCUGAGACUCAGCGAAGUUGAAAUGUUUGUGAUGAUGCAAUCUCCCCGCGGAAAGACGGAAAGACCCCAUGAACCUUUACUGUAGCUUUGUAUUGGACUUUGAACAGAUCUGUGUAGGAUAGGUGGGAGGCUUUGAAGUGAGGUCGCUAGGUCUCAUGGAGCCAACGUUGAAAUACCACCCUGGUGUGUUUGAGGUUCUAACCUAGGUCCAUUAUCUGGAUCGGGGACAGUGCAUGGUAGGCAGUUUGACUGGGGCGGUCUCCUCCCAAAGCGUAACGGAGGAGUUCGAAGGUACGCUAGUUACGGUCGGACAUCGUGACGAUAGUGCAAUGGCAUAAGCGUGCUUAACUGCGAGACUGACAAGUCGAGCAGAUGCGAAAGCAGGACAUAGCGAUCCGGUGGUUCUGUAUGGAAGGGCCAUCGCUCAACGGAUAAAAGGUACUCUGGGGAUAACAGGCUGAUACCGCCCAAGAGUUCAUAUCGACGGCGGUGUUUGGCACCUCGAUGUCGGCUCAUCUCAUCCUGGGGCUGUAGCCGGUCCCAAGGGUAUGGCUGUUCGCCAUUUAAAGAGGUACGUGAGCUGGGUUUAAAACGUCGUGAGACAGUUUGGUCCCUAUCUUCCGUGGGCGCUGCAGAUUUGAGGAAGCCUGCUCCUAGUACGAGAGGACCGGAGUGGACACACCUCUGGUGUAUCGGUUGUCACGCCAGUGGCAUUGCCGAGUAGCUAAGUGUGGAAGAGAUAACCGCUGAAAGCAUCUAAGCGGGAAACUCGUUUCAAGAUGAGAUCUGCCGGGGCCUUGAGCCCCCUAAAGAGUCGUUCAAGACCAGGACGUUGAUAGGUCAGGUGUGGAAGCG
Molecule: ribosomal RNA, 1314 nt
Filed under: metagenome
Description: bacterial LSU rRNA
Rfam family: Bacterial large subunit ribosomal RNA
Source: RNAcentral